GGGAAGGGCGAGUCCCGCUCUCGCGAGACUUGGCGGGCGGAGGGGAAGGGCCGCGGCGGGUUAAUGGCGGGUGAGGGGAGGGCAUGGCGGGCCCGCUGUGUGCGGCUCCCUCAGCCGCCCUCGGGCUCCCUCACCGCCCCACAGCGCGGGGAGCCUCGCAGGGAGGCCACGCGCAGCGUUCUGGCUGGAUAUGGCCGUCGUAGUGGUGUCAGGCGGCCGUUUAGUGCCACCCAGCGCCCUCAGGAGCAGCCCGGCGGUGAUGGGGGGUCGGUGCCCCCUCAGAGCACGGGAAGGGUUUCAGGUGUAGUGAUCCAAAUAUAACCCACGUAGGUGGUUUGGGAAAAAGUUCUUGGAAGGCCACGCAUUAAAAAAAAAAAAAUUGAGGAAUGGCCCUUUGAGAUAUAUAAAAUAUCUAUAUAUUUAUAUAGAUAUAUAUUCUACAUCUCUAAAACUAUAUUUCACAUACUUUUGCAAGUUUUUUUUUAGUAAUCUUUUCCUAAAGUAAUUUUUAAAGUGUUGAAGUUUCUCCUUUUGAAGAUGCUGUGGGUCCUCGGUACUCUGAGCAUAUUCAUAAUCUUUAUGUGCACUGUUAUCUUUGAGGUCUUUUUCAACCUAAAUUAUUCUAUUUUCUACUAAUUUGGAAAAAAAACUGCACUAGAAAGUGACUAAAUGAUCAUUGUUCCUUAGAUCUUUUCCAGCCUUAAAAAUUCUUUGAUCUGUUUUUAUUUCCCUGACCAGGUUCAUUACUGUGACCUCGAAGGGAAGGCAACAAAAGUUCUCAAAAGCUCUAAAAACUGCAGCUGCACCAAUUGAAAAUGGGAAUAACUCCACAGAGCCCCUCAUCUGCCGUGCCCACACCGCAGGAGUGAGGGAGGAGUCACCCGAGGCCACCGAGGCCGUUUGAUCUUAUCUAAGAUCUGGUGCCCGAUGGGUUUCAAACAGCUCCAGCAUGUGGAACAAAAUCCUGGAGUCAUCCUUGGAAUGGCCUCUUUCCUCCAAGGACACAGUGACACAAAAGCAAAGGAACAAAAAGAGAGGCAAUCCUGCAAGAAAGACAGCUGGAACACGUGGCUGAGAUACAACCUCCCUCUGGAUGGAGCUGGUUUAGGGCCUUUCAGCACCUUCAACUUCCUUGACUAAACUCCCACAUGGUCAGUUAACAAGGAUGGAGAUGUUUCUUCUCCCUACAAGUCCUACAAAGUUGGAAAUUUGGAAUUUAUUUUGCAGGCUUGGAGGGAGAGUGGUGCUUGGUUUAUUUUAUCGUCACUGGUUGUGAUCUGUGUCCUUGUUCCACUGCAGUGUCAUGAGAUAAUUAAUACUAAAACACCGCUAUUUUUUAUUUUACAUGUUUCUCAUGCCUUUAAAAUCAGUAGAAGAGGGCUGAUGACAUUGCACAGGGGAAAACAGAAUUUAAUAAAUUCUUUUUGCAUCGGGAAUUACUUGGCAAAGCUGAUGGUGCACAGGGGACCAACUCCAAGAUGAAAACCAAGCCUUGCUGAAAUCUGAAAGCACAGAUUGCACCCUGGAUGAAUGUGGGCAGGAGCUGGAUGAAUAAAGAGGUAUUAAUUCUUACUGCAUCUACCAUUGAAAUGGAAUAGAAGUGGGCAACUGUUCAAAAGCAAAGUAGGAUGGAAUUAAUCUGGUUUUCUCGUGACCUUUUUUUUUUAGGGCUUCACUCACAGCAACAGUUCACCUAAAUCCACUUAAAAUACUUGCUGUAACAGGAAAAAAAAAAAAAAAAACCCACCUUUGUCAUGCAGACAAAGGCAGGACAUCUAAGAAAAACAAUUUGAGAAACCCCCCACCAGAAAACUCACCCUGGUAUUGGACUUCUGAAACAGGUUCCAAAGAGCAACUCCAAAUGUGUAGGAUAAGAUCAAGGCAUCAAUACAUAAUGCUUGUUCUCCACCAGUGAGAUUUUAAUUUAUCCUGUCAACAUGAGCUAAUUAAUAAUUAAAAAGCGCACUGUGAUCAUUAUGUGGGAGGUUCUAUAAAAUGAAAAUUCAAGCAAUUUGAGAGGCAGGAGAUGCCUGUUUAUUAAAAAAACACAUUUGGGGAUUUACUCUAUUACUGUUUCAAUUACAGUUUCAGCAGCAAGAUUUUGAUGUGCAUUUAAGCAUUCUAGAAGCUGUGACUGCCCCAUCCCUGAAAGUGUCCAAGGCCAGGUUGGAGCAACCUGGGAGUGUCCCAGACGUCCCUGCCCAUGGCAGAGGGUGGAAUGAGAUGAUAUUUGAUCCCAACCAUUCUGUGAUUCCUGUUGGUGAUCUUCUGACUCUGCAUCUUCUCUUGAUUCCUCAUGUGGGAAGUCUCAUGUUGUCCUUCUCACAUUAGUAUUCUUUUUAAUCCAA
Molecule: long non-coding RNA, 2348 nt
Organism: Taeniopygia guttata (zebra finch)
Lineage: Eukaryota; Metazoa; Chordata; Aves; Passeriformes; Estrildidae
Source: RefSeq, a predicted model, not a curated record